ACGAGUUGUUGAAACUCACCAUAACUAAUUUGCAUAACCACAACCUUUCUGUCUGAGGUCAUUAAUGAUGAUGUGGAAGUUAUGAAGAGAAUCCUGUGGAUGAUAAUUUAAAGUGAACCAUCCAAAACUGUCAUAUUAUAAGUUCUUUUGAGUUCAGAAACAAGAGGAUGGUAGAUUCCAAAUACAUCGCAUUAUUUGCAUUCUACAUUAUAAUAAAUAAUAUCUAUGGAAGUGUGACCUCCAUGCAAGGGACAACCGGCAACAAAACUGUCGGGACGGAGGCAAAAACAAAUUCCACAAAUACAUCGCAAGUUAACUUGGGGAAAAAUGUGUUGGAUCCAGCUCUGGGCAUCAAGCUUGAUCUUAAGGCAAAGACGCCUUCUCUAAAUUUAAAUAAAGCCAGUCUAAAAACCCUUUGUACGAUUUUAAAAGACUUAUGUCAAAACCAGUAUGACAGUUGGGGGAAAUGAGAAAAAAAUUCAGCAUAUUUUUGUUAAAGAUGUUCCAAAAAGAAAGCAAAACAAAAUAUUAAGCCAAAUAUAUCACUUUAUUAAUAUAUAAUAUAUUUUUGAUUUGAGUUUCAUAUUGUUAACUCGCCAAAAAGAAGUAUUGCCAUACAGAUUUGUAAUAUUAAAGAACAUUUGCCAAAGGCUUAAAUAAAAUUAUUUCUGGAGACAGAUGAA
RNA transcript from Saccostrea echinata, 683 nucleotides. RefSeq lists it as uncharacterized. The transcript has 3 exons. The record is from RefSeq and is a predicted model, not a curated record. Lineage: Eukaryota; Metazoa; Mollusca; Bivalvia; Ostreida; Ostreidae.